UUGUGGAUUUUUACCUUUCUAUUGGUAUAGGUAGGAGGAAUUCUACACUGUCACACUUGCACCACGUCAUCAAUAACAAGCCAAUCACAUUUCUUCUUUUCAAACAAAAGUAUAAUAAAAAUACUUUUUUACAAUCAUGAUGGGACAUAUAUUCUUAAAAGAAUUAAUUUGAUUGGUUUGUUACGCCAUGUCACUAAUAUACCCGUUGCAUUCUAGAAUUUUUCGUAUAGGUAGAGGGGCAAUCCAGCUUUGCAAGUCAAUUCAUGUUCGACUUGAUAUCGAAUCGUCCGUUUAGUAAAUAAAUAAAACAGAGUUGAAUUUAUUUUAUAUAUAUAUAUAUAUUCUUUCUAGUUUUUUUAACUUGUUGUUCAUGAACCAUCUCGUGUUCGACUCGUUAAAUAACAAGCCGAACACAAACAAAAUUUUUCGACUCGAUAUUUUAAUGAGCCAAUUUGAAAUCAACUCGUUUAUAAAGACUUAUUUAUAAAAUGAGCGGAACAC
RNAcentral lists this long non-coding RNA (501 nucleotides) under Ananas comosus (pineapple). Its description in RNAcentral is "long non-coding RNA (ACOM_LNC032052)". Lineage: Eukaryota; Viridiplantae; Streptophyta; Magnoliopsida; Poales; Bromeliaceae. The record is from RNAcentral.